UGGGAGAUAUUGGACAAUGGGCGCAAGCCUGAUCCAGCCAUGCCGCGUGUGUGAAGAAGGCCCUCGGGUUGUAAAGCACUUUCAGUGGGAGAAACGCCUGGUGGUUAAUACCCGUCAGGAAGGACAUCACCCACAGAAGAAGCACCGGCUAACUCCGUGCCAGCAGCCGCGGUAAUACGGAGGGUGCGAGCGUUAAUCGGAAUUACUGGGCGUAAAGCGCGCGUAGGUGGCUUGAUAAGCCGGUUGUGAAAGCCCCGGCUGCAACCUGGGAACGGCAUCCGGAACUGUCAGGCUAGAGUGCAGGAGAGGAAGGUAGAAUUCCCGGGUGUAGCGGUGAAAUGCGUAGAGAUCGGGAGGAAUACCAGUGGCGAAGGCGGCCUUCUGGACUGACACUGACACUGAGGUGCGAAAGCGUGGGUAGCAAACA
RNAcentral lists this ribosomal RNA (427 nucleotides) under uncultured Halomonas sp. RNAcentral's name for it is "bacterial SSU rRNA". It matches the Rfam family "Bacterial small subunit ribosomal RNA", at positions 355 to 774 of the family's 1533-position model. Lineage: Bacteria; Pseudomonadati; Pseudomonadota; Gammaproteobacteria; Oceanospirillales; Halomonadaceae. The record is from RNAcentral.